CGGCGGACGGGUGAGUAACGCGUGGGUAACCUACCUUGUACACACGGAUAACAUACCGAAAGGUAUGCUAAUACGGGAUAAUAUAUUUGAGAGGCAUCUCUUGAAUAUCAAAGGUGAGCCAGUACAGGAUGGACCCGCGUCUGAUUAGCUAGUUGGUAAGGUAACGGCUUACCAAGGCGACGAUCAGUAGCCGACCUGAGAGGGUGAUCGGCCACAUUGGAACUGAGACACGGUCCAA
RNAcentral lists this ribosomal RNA (238 nucleotides) under uncultured bacterium. RNAcentral's name for it is "partial 16S ribosomal RNA". It matches the Rfam family "Bacterial small subunit ribosomal RNA", at positions 96 to 334 of the family's 1533-position model. The record is from RNAcentral.